This 73-nucleotide transfer RNA is filed under the name Trichonephila inaurata madagascariensis. It matches the Rfam family "tRNA". Rfam says of the family: Transfer RNA (tRNA) molecules are approximately 80 nucleotides in length. Lineage: Eukaryota; Metazoa; Arthropoda; Arachnida; Araneae; Nephilidae. The record is from Rfam by way of RNAcentral.
GUCUCUGUAGCGCAAUGGAUAGCUCGUUGGACUUCUAAUCCAAAGGUCGUGGGCUCAAACCCCACCUGGGAUG